CCUACGGGAGGCAGCAGUGGGGAAUUUUCCGCAAUGGGCGCAAGCCUGACGGAGCAAGACCGCGUGAGGGAGGAAGGCUCUUGGGUUGUAAACCUCUUUUAUCAGGGAAGAAGAUCUGACGGUACCUGAUGAAUCAGCAUCGGCUAACUCCGUGCCAGCAGCCGCGGUAAUACGGAGGAUGCAAGCGUUAUCCGGAUUUAUUGGGCGUAAAGCGUCCGCAGGUGGUUAUUCAAGUCUGCUGUUAAAGCGCGAGGCUUAACUUCGUACAGGCAGUGGAAACUGGAUGACUGGAGUAUGGUAGGGGUAGCGGGAAUUCCCAGUGUAGCGGUGAAAUGCGUAGAUAUUGGGAAGAACACCAGCGGCGAAAGCGCGCUACUGGGCCAUUACUGACACUCAUGGACGAAAGCUAGGGGAGCGAAAGGGAUUAGAUACCCCUGUAGUCCUAGCUGUAAACGAUGGGUACUAGGUGUUGACCGUAUCGACCCGGUCAGUGCGUAGCUACGACGUACGUACCCGUCCGUCGGAGUAGUGCGACGCGAGUAGUAGAAACGUUAAAGUAGUAAGUUAGUACGGUUCGUUGUAGACGUUGCGACGGACGACGACGAGGGAGGUUAGG
Molecule: ribosomal RNA, 616 nt
Filed under: uncultured bacterium
Lineage: Bacteria
Description: bacterial SSU rRNA
Rfam family: Bacterial small subunit ribosomal RNA (bases 1-518)
Source: RNAcentral